Molecule: transfer RNA, 76 nt
Filed under: Ruminococcus sp. AM46-18
Lineage: Bacteria; Bacillati; Bacillota; Clostridia; Eubacteriales; Oscillospiraceae
Description: tRNA-Met
Rfam family: tRNA
About the family: Transfer RNA (tRNA) molecules are approximately 80 nucleotides in length.
Source: RNAcentral
GGACAUUUAGCUCAGUAGGUAGAGCAACCGGCUCAUAACCGGUCGGUCCUGGGUUCGAGUCCCAGAAUGUCCACUA